CCUACGGGUGGCAGCAGUGAGGAAUAUUGGUCAAUGGCCGAAAGGCUGAACCAGCCAAGUCGCGUGAGGGCAUAAUGCCCUAUGGGUCGUCAACCUCUUUUGUCAGGGAGCAAAAGCCUCCACUUUUGGACUAGAGGAGAAUACCUGGAGAAAAAGCAUCCGCUAACUCCGUCCCACCCGCCGCGAUAAUACGGAGGAUGCGAGCGUUAUCCGGAUUUAUUGGGUUUAAAGUGUGCGUAGGCGGAGUGUCAAGUCAGCGGUAAAAUUUCGGGGCUCAACCCCGUCGUGCCGUUGAAACUGAGGCCCUUGAGUGAGUGAGAAGUAAGCGGAAUGCGUGGUGUAGCGGUGAAAUGCAUAGAGAUCACGCAGAACGCCGAUUGCGAAGGCAGCUUACCGGCGCUCAACUGACGCUGAGGCACGAAAGUGCGGGUAUCGAACAGGAUUAGAUACCCCUGUAGUC
Molecule: ribosomal RNA, 460 nt
Filed under: uncultured bacterium
Lineage: Bacteria
Description: partial 16S ribosomal RNA
Rfam family: Bacterial small subunit ribosomal RNA
Source: RNAcentral